This is a non-coding RNA of Taeniopygia guttata (zebra finch), 1116 nucleotides long. Lineage: Eukaryota; Metazoa; Chordata; Aves; Passeriformes; Estrildidae. The record is from RefSeq and is a predicted model, not a curated record.
AGUGCUUGACUGCUCCCCUCCCAGACAGGCUGUCUUUAAGUCAGCUUGGAUGAACCAGAACUCUGUAUCUGUGUUUGCCCUGGGGACCAUAAUUAUUAAGGCAUUUUCUCAUCUGAGCCACAUGCAACUCAUUAAAAAGGUGCAAUCAAUAGCAAGCACAGACUGUGGACAGCAUAAGUAUUGAAAUCCAGCUUUAUCUCCCUAACCACAUUUUCAGGAGCUGCCCCUGAGUGCACCCCCAGCACUUGAGAGUGAGUCCUCUCAUACAUCAGCAAUAACACCAUGCAUCUGCUGGAGAUCUGCAAAGCCUCAUCAGUGUGAUGUGCAGAGGAGGAUGCCAAGGAAAUGAUUCAAACCUGGGAAAAUGCCUUAGUCCAAAAGUCAGACUCAUCUUGCCUAAGUACAGAAGUCUGUAAUGCAGGCUGUGAUAUGAGGUAGCCAGCACAGAAUUCCUUGACUGCUCCUAGAGAGAAAUAGGAAUGCUGUGAGGGACAUUUAUGCAGCCUGGUUUAAAGAUUCACUCUGGGAUGAGAUGAACUUCGCUGUGAAAGGGUUCAUUACUCCAAGCUGACUCCAAAGGGAUGGUGACUAGUGCUGUACAGCCAUCUGUUGGGUAGAAGUGCACAUCUGGCCUGAUAUAUCCAUGUGAGAGACCGAAAAAGUUCCGUCCACUUAAUUCGUCAGAAGCAGACCACAGUGCUAACAUAUAAAGGAGACCUUCAUGUAAAGACAGUUUUGUUUCCAAUGGGCAUUGUUAACAGCAGACAGAAACAGGAAUUAACGGGUGUAGGCUGAAGCCAGGUACACAUGCAAGGAAAAUACAAAGUGAAGUGCUUUGUACAAUGAAUGAAACAAGCCACUGCUCAACAGUAGAAGAGGUGGCUUCUUGAUCUCUGGGAGCCUCCAAUGUCUUUAUGAAACAUCAGUGCUCCAAUUCCAUUUAAUGUGGAUUAAAGGAAUAAAUUUAUUAACCAGAAUAAACUGUGUUGCUCCAUAAAUCAGACUGGAUCAGAUUACUUCAGAAUGUCUGGCUGGUCCCUGUCUUAAAUUUGUUUUAAAACAUGCAUACUUUUCUAUAUCUAACAGUCUUUUCCUCUGUUCUCCAGGGGAAAUAAA